This is a long non-coding RNA of Vespula pensylvanica (western yellowjacket), 464 nucleotides long. RefSeq lists it as uncharacterized. The record is from RefSeq and is a predicted model, not a curated record. The transcript is spliced from 3 exons. NCBI's taxonomy places the organism in Eukaryota, Metazoa, Arthropoda, Insecta, Hymenoptera, Vespidae.
CCCGUUCGUAAAUCUUUUUAACUUCGUCUCUUUCACUAUGCUGACUCGAUUAAUCAACAUGAUUCGCAGUCGAUCGAGUUAUAAACGCCGAGUUCGUGCCAGCUGCCUUUGUUCUUCCGAGCAUUCCACUUGGAUCCGCACGUGCGAUUCUUCUAGCUCGACAAAAGUGCCUCUGGAAUGUGGGUCAGAAGUAAAUGGGCAGAGGAAUUUUCGAAGUCCAACAACGACCGAUCGAGAUAUCUCAGUAAUUUCUUUAUCGAUUUUACUGAACAACUACAUCAGAUUCGAAAUUCGUUAAAAUCAUCGAUCGACGGACCAUCGAUGAUAUUUACAAUUACUCGAGUGAUAUAUAAGAUUCCAUACAAAAAAGGUAUUUCACGAUUUAACAAGAACGGCAUACGAAGUGUCUUUAUUAAAGUCGAAGAUGACUCGUCAGAUCGUCGCCAUCGUCGUCGUCGUUGUCG